UGGCGGGACGGGUGGAGUAACGCGUGAGAAUCUGCCUUUAGGACGGGGACAACAGCUGGAAACGGCGGCUAAAACCCGAUGUGCCCUUCGGGGUGAAAUAUUUAUAGCCUGAAGAUGAGCUCGCGUCCGAUUAGCUAGUUGGCGGAGUAAAAGCCCACCAAGGCGACGAUCGGUAGCUGGUCUGAGAGGACGAUCAGCCACACUGGGACUGAGACACGGCCCAG
This 224-nucleotide ribosomal RNA is filed under the name uncultured bacterium. RNAcentral describes it as "partial 16S ribosomal RNA". It matches the Rfam family "Bacterial small subunit ribosomal RNA", at positions 100 to 334 of the family's 1533-position model. The record is from RNAcentral.